This 444-nucleotide ribosomal RNA is filed under the name uncultured bacterium. RNAcentral's name for it is "partial 16S ribosomal RNA". It matches the Rfam family "Bacterial small subunit ribosomal RNA", at positions 354 to 796 of the family's 1533-position model. The record is from RNAcentral.
GUAGGGAAUAUUGGGCAAUGGUCGGAAGACUGACCCAGCCAUGCCGCGUGCAGGAAGACGGCCCUCUGGGUUGUAAACUGCUUUUAUCUGGGAAGAAAAAGGUCAUGCGUGGCAAAUUGCCGGUACCAGAUGAAUAAGCACCGGCUAACUCCGUGCCAGCAGCCGCGGUAAUACGGAGGGUGCAAGCGUUGUCCGGAUUUAUUGGGUUUAAAGGGUGCGUAGGCGGCUGCUUAGGUCAGCGGUGAAAGACUCCGGCUUAACCGGAGCAGUAGCGUUGAUACUGGGUAGCUUGAGUGUUGGAGCGGUACAUGGAAUUGAUGGUGUAGCGGUGAAAUGCAUGGAUACCAUCAGGAACACCGAUAGCGAAGGCAUUGUACUGGCCAACAACUGACGCUGAUGCACGAAAGUGUGGGGAUCGAACAGGAUUAGAAACCCGGGUGGACC